Molecule: microRNA precursor, 136 nt
Filed under: Pteropus vampyrus (large flying fox)
Lineage: Eukaryota; Metazoa; Chordata; Mammalia; Chiroptera; Pteropodidae
Description: miRNA (ENSPVAG00000026785.1)
Source: RNAcentral
CCAGUUAAAUUUGAAUUUCAGAAAAACAACCAAGAAUUUUUUAGUAUAAGUAUACCCCAUUAAUAUUUAGGACAUACCUAUGCUAAAAAGGUAUUUCUUAUUUUUCCAAAAUUCAAAUGUAACUGGAUGCCCUGUA